This 657-nucleotide small RNA is filed under the name Pongo abelii (Sumatran orangutan). RNAcentral describes it as "processed transcript". Lineage: Eukaryota; Metazoa; Chordata; Mammalia; Primates; Hominidae. The record is from RNAcentral.
CAAUUUACAAGGUGUGUCCGCAGCCAGCAGCGGCCGCAUCGUGGUAGCAGACAGCAACAACCAGUGUAUUCAGUCUGCUACUCAGUCUCAUGAGCCUACCUCCUACAUAUGUCUUGAGUCCAUCUGCUUCCCUCCAGCCAAUUUCCUUGGUCUAAGCCAUCAUCAUUUCUCAACUGGAAUACUGCAACAGCCUCUGACUGGGCAGCCAGCUUCUAGUCUUGACUCCUCCCUACAGCCAGAAUGUUCUUUCUUAAAAGCAAAAUUGAUCUUGUCACUGCUAUGCCUAGAAAUGUUAAGAGACUCCUCAUUACACCCAGGAUAAAACAUAAUUCCUUCUUUUGUUCACCUGGGUGCUCCCUGCAGUCCAGCCACACUGGACAAGUCCUCAAGUGGUGCCCAUACUGGACUUUGUGCCUUUUACAUCUGUUCACUCUGCUUGAAUGCCUUUCCUCUUCCUUUCCUGGCCGAAUUUGGUUUAUGUCGCAUCCUCAUUAGGCUAUUUGUUCAGACAUCUUCUUCUCUUGGAGCCUUUUCUCACCAUUCCCCUUCAUCCCUUCAUGUUCUCACAAUCCCAUUCACAUCUCUGUUGCAUUGCCCCAGACCUGCUGCCGUGUUUGAUUUUGUCAGUAAGUGCUUGUUGAAUGACCGAAUAAAUGG